UUCGGGAACUCUGACACAGGUGCUGCAUGGCUGUCGUCGGCUCGUGUCGUGAGAUGUUGGGUUAAGUCCCGUAACGAGCGCAACCCUUGUCCUUAGUUACCAGCACGUUAUGGUGGGCACUCUAAGGAGACUGCCGGUGACAAACCGGAGGAAGGUGGGGAUGACGUCAAGUCAUCAUGGCCCUUACGGCCUGGGCUACACACGUGCUACAAUGGUCGGUACAAAGGGUUGCCAAGCCGCGAGGUGGAGCUAAUCCCAUAAAACCGAUCGUAGUCCGGAUCGCAGUCUGCAACUCGACUGCGUGAAGUCGGAAUCGCUAGUAAUCGUGAAUCAGAAUGUCACGGUGAAUACGUUCCCGGGCCUU
RNAcentral lists this ribosomal RNA (364 nucleotides) under uncultured Pseudomonas sp. RNAcentral describes it as "bacterial SSU rRNA". It matches the Rfam family "Bacterial small subunit ribosomal RNA", at positions 1019 to 1382 of the family's 1533-position model. The record is from RNAcentral. Lineage: Bacteria; Pseudomonadati; Pseudomonadota; Gammaproteobacteria; Pseudomonadales; Pseudomonadaceae.